This 492-nucleotide ribosomal RNA is filed under the name Pseudomonas aeruginosa. RNAcentral describes it as "bacterial SSU rRNA". It matches the Rfam family "Bacterial small subunit ribosomal RNA", at positions 8 to 498 of the family's 1533-position model. The record is from RNAcentral. Lineage: Bacteria; Pseudomonadati; Pseudomonadota; Gammaproteobacteria; Pseudomonadales; Pseudomonadaceae.
AGAGUUUGAUCCUGGCUCAGAUUGAACGCUGGCGGCAGGCCUAACACAUGCAAGUCGAGCGGAUGAAGGGGGCUUGCUCCUGGAUUCAGCGGCGGACGGGUGAGUAAUGCCUAGGAAUCUGCCUGGUAGUGGGGGAUAACGUCCGGAAACGGGCGCUAAUACCGCAUACGUCCUGAGGGAGAAAGUGGGGGAUCUUCGGACCUCACGCUAUCAGAUGAGCCUAGGUCGGAUUAGCUAGUUGGUGGGGUAAAGGCCUACCAAGGCGACGAUCCGUAACUGGUCUGAGAGGAUGAUCAGUCACACUGGAACUGAGACACGGUCCAGACUCCUACGGGAGGCAGCAGUGGGGAAUAUUGGACAAUGGGCGAAAGCCUGAUCCAGCCAUGCCGCGUGUGUGAAGAAGGUCUUCGGAUUGUAAAGCACUUUAAGUUGGGAGGAAGGGCAGUAAGUUAAUACCUUGCUGUUUGACGUACCAACAGAUAGACGAGGCCC